UUAUUCACCCUUGUCUUUUGCGUACUUCUUGUUUCCUUGGUGGGUUCGCCCACCACUAGGACAAACAUAAACCUUUUGUAAUUGCAAUCAGCGUCAGUAACAAAUUAAUAAUUACAACUUUCAACAACGGAUCUCUUGGUUCUGGCAUCGAUGAAGAACGCAGCGAAAUGCGAUAAGUAGUGUGAAUUGCAGAAUUCAGUGAAUCAUCGAAUCUUUGAACGCACAUUGCGCCCUUUGGUAUUCCAAAGGGCAUGCCUGUUCGAGCGUCAUUUGUACCCUCAAGCUUUGCUUGGUGUUGGGCGUCUUGUCUCUAGCUUUGCUGGAGACUCGCCUUAAAGUAAUUGGCAGCCGGCCUACUGGUUUCGGAGCGCAGCACAAGUCGCACUCUCUAUCAGCAAAGGUCUAGCAUCCAUUAAGCCUUUUUUUCAACUUUUGACAUCGGAUCAGGUAGGGAUACCCGCUGAACUUAAGCAUAUCAAUAAGCGGAGGA
RNAcentral lists this ribosomal RNA (490 nucleotides) under Alternaria sp. Its description in RNAcentral is "eukaryotic LSU rRNA". The stretch from base 116 to 269 matches the Rfam family "5.8S ribosomal RNA". Lineage: Eukaryota; Fungi; Ascomycota; Dothideomycetes; Pleosporales; Pleosporaceae. The record is from RNAcentral.